AAAAAGAAAUAGGGGGCAGACCUGAAAGAGUUCCCCAAGCCCUCUGUACAGAGCUAGACUUUCUAGUACGUUCUAGAAGCCUGGCGCUCAAACAAUGCCCUGGGAGCUUCAUGUUACACCUGAGAGCUGACAUGGAGCCCCUGACUGUGGCAGGGCUUGCAGGGCUUCUUGCAGGGACAUCACAGGAUCCCUGGGGACUCCAGGGUGCAGCUCAGCUUGAGAACCAGUAGGAAUCAAAACUCGGACUGGAGUCACACCCCGACUGAGAGGCCAGAAGGGGUCAGGGCAGAGGAAACGUGCUCCGGCCAAAAACCACCCGACAGUCCGACAAGCGGGUACAGAGACCGCACAUGGCUUUUCCGUUGCUCUGUGUUGUGCUGUUUCCAACUCAUCUGGCUGGCACAGGAAUGUUCGGGACCAAAGCCUCCUUCCCUGCUACAUACGUGUAAAGCCUUACCCCGUCUUUCCUGGUUUCACUCCCCAUAAAUUGGUUUUCGGGGCCUCUGAGCCUGUAA
Long non-coding RNA from Canis lupus familiaris (dog), 515 nucleotides. RefSeq lists it as uncharacterized. The transcript is spliced from 2 exons. The record is from RefSeq and is a predicted model, not a curated record. NCBI's taxonomy places the organism in Eukaryota, Metazoa, Chordata, Mammalia, Carnivora, Canidae.